GACCGCUCCUUUUGGAGCCAAGGCCACACGGACAGCCGGGUCGAAUGCCGA
This 51-nucleotide small RNA is filed under the name bovine gut metagenome. RNAcentral's name for it is "Streptococcus sRNA SpF59 (ldcC RNA)". It matches the Rfam family "Streptococcus sRNA SpF59 (ldcC RNA)". The record is from RNAcentral.